This is a non-coding RNA of Vicugna pacos (alpaca), 526 nucleotides long. The record is from RefSeq and is a predicted model, not a curated record. NCBI's taxonomy places the organism in Eukaryota, Metazoa, Chordata, Mammalia, Artiodactyla, Camelidae.
CUUUUCCUUCCUAGAUGCUGAUAAUACAGAAAACUGUAACCGGGCCACAGGUCUGAGGUCUGGGACUUCCUGCCUGCUUUCGCUCUUCUGGAAAUACAACACUGCAUGAAAGAGGCAAAGACCAUAUUUCCCUGCUUUACAGUGAGGGAUGCAGUCAAUACAUAAUUUUUGGCAAAGAGGAAUGAAAUCUGAAACUGGCAGCUAAUGACCUAUGGGACAAGAUGCAGAGGCUGUUUGAAUUUACUGUUCCUGUCAUCAUUACUAAGCCCAUGGACUUGGACUGAAAUCUACACCACGGGAUCUCCAGCUCUCAGGCCUUUUAACUACACCACUGGCCUUCCUGGGUCUCCACCUUGGUCAUGGGACUUCUCAUCCUCCAUUGUAUGAGCCAAUACCUUAUAGUAAGUCUUUUUAUAUAUAUCCUUUGCUUCUGUUUCUUUGGAGAACUGUGACUAAUACACUUGAAUCACAAAAUAAACAUUGCAUAGAUAUAAAUUAUCAUAAUUAUAAGUAGUUAUAAGUUAUC